GGUUAAGCGACUAAGCGUACACGGUGGAUGCCCUGGCAGUCAGAGGCGAUGAAGGGCGUGCUAAUCUGCGAUAAGCGCCGGUAAGGUGAUAUGAACCGUUAUAACCGGCGAUACCCGAAUGGGGAAACCCAGUGUGAUUCGUCACACUAUCAUUAACUGAAUCCAUAGGUUAAUGAGGCGAACCGGGGGAACUGAAACAUCUAAGUACCCCGAGGAAAAGAAAUCAACCGAGAUUCCCCCAGUAGCGGCGAGCGAACGGGGAGGAGCCCAGAGCCUGAAUCAGCAUGUGUGUUAGUGGAAGCGUCUGGAAAGGCGCGCGAUACAGGGUGACAGCCCCGUACACAAAAGCGCAUGUGCUGUGAGCUCGAUGAGUAGGGCGGGACACGUGGUAUCCUGUCUGAAUAUGGGGGGACCAUCCUCCAAGGCUAAAUACUCCUGACUGACCGAUAGUGAACCAGUACCGUGAGGGAAAGGCGAAAAGAACCCCGGCGAGGGGAGUGAAAAAGAACCUGAAAC
RNAcentral lists this ribosomal RNA (516 nucleotides) under Salmonella enterica subsp. enterica serovar Mississippi. Its description in RNAcentral is "partial 23S ribosomal RNA". It matches the Rfam family "Bacterial large subunit ribosomal RNA", at positions 1 to 556 of the family's 2925-position model. Lineage: Bacteria; Pseudomonadati; Pseudomonadota; Gammaproteobacteria; Enterobacterales; Enterobacteriaceae. The record is from RNAcentral.